UUUCCUAUGUUAAGCAUCCAUAUUUUUGAAGAAAGUGAUGAUGGUUUGUUUCGCAGAGGAAUCGUUUAAUUUUCUUUUUUUCUCGUAUUCCCCGAAAGAAACUAAGAAAUCCAAUGAGGAACGAACAGCACACAGGGUGUUGUCGAAGAGGAACACGUAGUCUAGAUUAUGAGAACAAAUUUGAAAUUCUAGACAAUGCUCUUGAGCAAUGUGUCCGUUGUUUUUGACUUCGUUUAAUGUUGUGGCUGAAUUGGACAAUGAGAGAUUGAAUCAACAACAUAUCAAGUGGGCAGCUCAUGGUCAAACUCGUUUGGCAUAAAGGGUUUGUUAGAUAAGGGUGGAGGCAGCUUUAACAAUUUAGAUCUAGCACCUAUUAGACUGGUGGUGUUGGCCCCGUGAAUCUUAUCGUCUUCAAGCUGGGUGAAAAAACAAUGAUUCAGUUGGUUUCGUGCAACAUCCUCACAAAAAUGCAACAAGACUUAACAAAUAGAGCAUAUAGAUGCAGUGUCGAUCUGUACCAGUGAGUACCAGAGUAAUGUGACAAGCAUUCAUGAUGGUGAUUAAUCUUCACACA
This is a long non-coding RNA of Daphnia carinata, 574 nucleotides long. RefSeq lists it as uncharacterized. Lineage: Eukaryota; Metazoa; Arthropoda; Branchiopoda; Diplostraca; Daphniidae. The transcript is spliced from 4 exons. The record is from RefSeq and is a predicted model, not a curated record.